RNAcentral lists this long non-coding RNA (256 nucleotides) under Elaeis guineensis (African oil palm). RNAcentral describes it as "long non-coding RNA (EGUI_LNC040636)". Lineage: Eukaryota; Viridiplantae; Streptophyta; Magnoliopsida; Arecales; Arecaceae. The record is from RNAcentral.
CCAUACCACUAUCUCCUCAUAAAGCUCCAUCUUCUGAUCUAGAAGAGUUAGAGUGAUCCAAAAAAAAAAAGUUUGAAUCAGCCAUCCAGAGACUUCAACACGAGCUAGCACUCUCGAGAAGGACGAUCCGAUCAGAGCUUAGAGUGGAUGACCUAUAGAGGUCGUACAAUCUAUGCAGUUGAUCGACAUCAGGAAUAGCCUCAUACCAUACCUAUCAAUAAUGGAGAUCAUCGACCUAUAUAAAGGUAAUGAGUUC